RNAcentral lists this ribosomal RNA (455 nucleotides) under uncultured Rhodocyclaceae bacterium. RNAcentral describes it as "bacterial SSU rRNA". It matches the Rfam family "Bacterial small subunit ribosomal RNA", at positions 927 to 1382 of the family's 1533-position model. Lineage: Bacteria; Pseudomonadati; Pseudomonadota; Betaproteobacteria; Rhodocyclales; Rhodocyclaceae. The record is from RNAcentral.
AAGCGGUGGAUGAUGUGGAUUAAUUCGAUGCAACGCGAAAACCUUACCUACCCUUGACAUGUCCGGAAUCCCGAAGAGAUUUGGGAGUGCUCGCAAGAGAGCCGGAACACAGGUGCUGCAUGGCUGUCGUCAGCUCGUGUCGUGAGAUGUUGGGUUAAGUCCCGCAACGAGCGCAACCCUUGUCAUUAGUUGCCAUCAUUUGGUUGGGCACUCUAAUGAGACUGCCGGUGACAAACCGGAGGAAGGUGGGGAUGACGUCAAGUCCUCAUGGCCCUUAUGGGUAGGGCUUCACACGUCAUACAAUGGUCGGUACAGAGGGUUGCCAACCCGCGAGGGGGAGCUAAUCCCACAAAGCCGAUCGUAGUCCGGAUCGCAGUCUGCAACUCGACUGCGUGAAGUCGGAAUCGCUAGUAAUCGUGGAUCAGCAUGUCACGGUGAAUACGUUCCCGGGUCUU